This is a long non-coding RNA of Sesamum indicum (sesame), 681 nucleotides long. RefSeq lists it as uncharacterized. NCBI's taxonomy places the organism in Eukaryota, Viridiplantae, Streptophyta, Magnoliopsida, Lamiales, Pedaliaceae. The record is from RefSeq and is a predicted model, not a curated record.
UUACAAUGUAGAUUUUCUCUUUCCUCAUCUUGCAAAAAUCGCCUACUGCAUUCACCUCUGUUCAUCUUCUUCCCAAAUUCUUCUUCAGAUCUAAAACAAUUCCAUGACCCAAGGGUUUAAUUCUAUACUGUUCGACUCUCUCAACAUGGCGAGUAUUUUGAUUCGAUUGGAUUUCAGUUUUUAUCAACUCCCGCAUUUUCCUCCCACCUCCCGCACACGGACACACACAAUUUGGUGUAUUAUCUGGAUGAUUAUACUGGGAAUGGAUCAAGAUCAACAAUGGCUGAUCAAUUGCUUGAACGCCUAACUCGAUCCCAACCAUUAAGUUCGAACCUUUGCGGAGACUUCCCUCCAGCAAGCAUCUCUUCCACCAGGUUAUGGUGUUGCUCUAGCUGGAGUUGCUGCAAACCGUGAAUUUCCAUUUGGAUUACGGCAUAUAUCCUUCAUGCUGUAUUUAGCAAAAUUUUAUUUAUUUUUUCUGCAUUCAAUGGACUUUAUGUGUUUGAUUUUGGUCCAAUUCCUUUUAGUGAUUCGCUUGUGAGAUUAACAUGCAUUAAGUUAGCAGCAGUUUUGCUGAAGCAAUAUAUUAAGAAACAUUGGAACAAGGAUGAGGAAGGUUUUGAGAAGUAACAUGUGAGCCAGUCACUUGUUGUCAUACAUUAAUUAUAAUGUUAACGGGAA